AGUCAAGUUUCUUCAGUCGAUUGAAAGUUCCAACUAUUAACGGGAAUAUCAAAUCUAUAUCAACAAUAAUAAUAAUAAUAUCAAAUCUAUAUCAACAAUAAUAAUAAUACUAAGCUCGAUCCUAUUUGCUAAAUACUUUUAUCAUUAGAAUCAAAACCCAAGAUAAAACAAAGAACUAAGAAAAGAGCAAGAAGAUGAGUAAAUUGAACAGUAAACUCUUCAAAGCUAAAAUGCAGAAAUCGACAUCCGCGGACAACAAUAUGGUCACUGUAGUAGAGGAGGUCAUUCAAAUAAAGAAAGUUUCUUUGACUGAUGAUCAGCAGUUUACUCUUGCUCCAGGAAU
Long non-coding RNA from Eurytemora carolleeae, 343 nucleotides. RefSeq lists it as uncharacterized. The transcript is spliced from 3 exons. Lineage: Eukaryota; Metazoa; Arthropoda; Copepoda; Calanoida; Temoridae. The record is from RefSeq and is a predicted model, not a curated record.